This 499-nucleotide ribosomal RNA is filed under the name uncultured bacterium. Its description in RNAcentral is "bacterial SSU rRNA". It matches the Rfam family "Bacterial small subunit ribosomal RNA", at positions 15 to 507 of the family's 1533-position model. The record is from RNAcentral.
GAUCAUGGCUCAGGAUGAACGCUAGCUACAGGCUUAACACAUGCAAGUCGAGGGGCAGCAUUAGGUAGCAAUACUGAGAUGGCGACCGGCGCACGGGUGCGUAACGCGUAUCCAACCUUCCCGUUACUCUUGGAUAGCCUUCCGAAAGGGAGAUUAAUACAAGAUGGUGUUGAAAUUCCGCAUGUUAUUUCAACUAAAGAUUUAUCGGUAACGGAUGGGGAUGCGUGACAUUAGAUAGAUGGCGGGGUAACGGCCCACCAUGUCCACGAUGUCUAGGGGUUCUGAGAGGAAGGUCCCCCACACUGGAACUGAGACACGGUCCAGACUCCUACGGGAGGCAGCAGUGAGGAAUAUUGGUCAAUGGCCGGAAGGCUGAACCAGCCAAGUAGCGUGAAGGAUGAAGGUUCUAUGGAUUGUAAACUUCUUUUAUGAGGGAAUAAAACCUCCCACGUGUGGGAGCUUGUAUGUACCUUAUGAAUAAGCAUCGGCUAACUCCGUG